This 69-nucleotide transfer RNA is filed under the name Elymnias hypermnestra (common palmfly). RNAcentral's name for it is "tRNA-Asp". Lineage: Eukaryota; Metazoa; Arthropoda; Insecta; Lepidoptera; Nymphalidae. The record is from RNAcentral.
AAAGAAUUAGUUAAUUUAAUAACAUAAAUAUUGUCAAAUUUAAAUUAUUGCUAUAUGCAAUAUUCUUUU